AGAGUUUGAUCAUGGCUCAGAUUGAACGCUGGCGGCAGGCCUAACACAUGCAAGUCGAGCGGUAGAGAGAAGCUUGCUUCUCUUGAGAGCGGCGGACGGGUGAGUAAUGCCUAGGAAUCUGCCUGGUAGUGGGGGAUAACGUUCGGAAACGGACGCUAAUACCGCAUACGUCCUACGGGAGAAAGCAGGGGACCUUCGGGCCUUGCGCUAUCAGAUGAGCCUAGGUCGGAUUAGCUAGUUGGUGAGGUAAUGGCUCACCAAGGCGACGAUCCGUAACUGGUCUGAGAGGAUGAUCAGUCACACUGGAACUGAGACACGGUCCAGACUCCUACGGGAGGCAGCAGUGGGGAAUAUUGGACAAUGGGCGAAAGCCUGAUCCAGCCAUGCCGCGUGUGUGAAGAAGGUCUUCGGAUUGUAAAGCACUUUAAGUUGGGAGGAAGGGUUGUAGAUUAAUACUCUGCAAUUUUGACGUUACCGACAGAAUAAGCACCGGCUAACUCUGUGCCAGCAGCCGCGGUAAUACAGAGGGUGCAAGCGUUAAUCGGAAUUACUGGGCGUAAAGCGCGCGUAGGUGGUUUGUUAAGUUGGAUGUGAAAUCCCCGGGCUCAACCUGGGAACUGCAUUCAAAACUGACUGACUAGAGUAUGGUAGAGGGUGGUGGAAUUUCCUGUGUAGCGGUGAAAUGCGUAGAUAUAGGAAGGAACACCAGUGGCGAAGGCGACUACCUGGACUGAUACUGACACUGAGGUGCGAAAGCGUGGGGAGCAAACAGGAUUAGAUACCCUGGUAGUCC
This 793-nucleotide ribosomal RNA is filed under the name uncultured bacterium. Its description in RNAcentral is "bacterial SSU rRNA". It matches the Rfam family "Bacterial small subunit ribosomal RNA", at positions 8 to 796 of the family's 1533-position model. The record is from RNAcentral.